AAUGAACGCUAGCGAUAUGCUUAACACAUGCAAGUCGAAUGGAUAGAGAAAUUUGUCCAUGGCACACGGGUGAGUAACGCGUAGGAAUCUGCCUUUUAGCAUGGGAUAAAAUUUCAGGGAAACUUGAGGUUGAAUACCGUAUAGAUUGAAAGAGUGUAAACUCACUAAAAGAUGAGCCUGCGUAGGAUUAGGUAGUUGGUAGGGGUAAUGGCCUACCAAGCCGAUGAUCCAGCUGGUCUGAGAGGAUGACCAGCCACACUGGGACUGAGACACGGCCCAGACUCCUACGGGAGGCAGCAGUGGGGAAUCUUGGACAAUGGGCGAAAGCCUGAUCCAGCAAUAUCGCGUGGGUGAUGAAGGUCCCUUUUGGUGUAAAGCCCUUUUAUCGAGGAGGAUAAUGACAGUACUACG
Molecule: ribosomal RNA, 411 nt
Filed under: uncultured bacterium
Lineage: Bacteria
Description: bacterial SSU rRNA
Rfam family: Bacterial small subunit ribosomal RNA
Source: RNAcentral